ACGAACGCUGGCGGCGUGCCUAAUACAUGCAAGUCGAACGGUCUUUCUAUGGAAGCUUGCUUCCGCUGAGAAGAUAGUGGCGAACGGGUGAGUAACACGUGGGUAACCUGCCCAUAAGAGGGGGAUAACAUCCGGAAACGGGUGCUAAUACCGCAUAGUUUUCUUGAUCGCAUGAUCGGGAAAGAAAAGACGGCCUUUGUGCUGUCGCUUAUGGAUGGACCCGCGGCGUAUUAGUUAGUUGGUGAGGUAACGGCUCACCAAGACGAUGAUACGUAGCCGACCUGAGAGGGUGAUCGGCCACAUUGGGACUGAGACACGGCCCAAACUCCUACGGGAGGCAGCAGUAGGGAAUCUUCCGCAAUGGACGAAAGUCUGACGGAGCAACGCCGCGUGAGUGAAGAAGGUUUUCGGAAUCGUAAAACUCUGUUGUCAGAGAAGAACAAGUUGGAGAGUAACUGCUCCAGCCUUGACGGUAUCUGACCAGAAAGCCACGGCUAACUACGUGCCAGCAGCAGC
This 516-nucleotide ribosomal RNA is filed under the name uncultured bacterium. RNAcentral describes it as "bacterial SSU rRNA". It matches the Rfam family "Bacterial small subunit ribosomal RNA", at positions 29 to 518 of the family's 1533-position model. The record is from RNAcentral.